This 464-nucleotide ribosomal RNA is filed under the name Vreelandella stevensii. RNAcentral describes it as "partial 16S ribosomal RNA". It matches the Rfam family "Bacterial small subunit ribosomal RNA", at positions 338 to 795 of the family's 1533-position model. The record is from RNAcentral. Lineage: Bacteria; Pseudomonadati; Pseudomonadota; Gammaproteobacteria; Oceanospirillales; Halomonadaceae.
CCUAGGGGGGCAGCAGUGGGGAAUAUUGGACAAUGGGGGGAACCCUGAUCCAGCCAUGCCGCGUGUGUGAAGAAGGCCCUCGGGUUGUAAAGCACUUUCAGUGAGGAAGAACGCCUGGUGGUUAAUACCCAUCAGGAAAGACAUCACUCACAGAAGAAGCACCGGCUAACUCCGUGCCAGCAGCCGCGGUAAUACGGAGGGUGCGAGCGUUAAUCGGAAUUACUGGGCGUAAAGCGCGCGUAGGUGGCUUGAUAAGCCGGUUGUGAAAGCCCCGGGCUCAACCUGGGAACGGCAUCCGGAACUGUCAAGCUAGAGUGCAGGAGAGGAAGGUAGAAUUCCCGGUGUAGCGGUGAAAUGCGUAGAGAUCGGGAGGAAUACCAGUGGCGAAGGCGGCCUUCUGGACUGACACUGACACUGAGGUGCGAAAGCGUGGGUAGCAAACAGGAUUAGAUACCCGUGUAGUC